Molecule: ribosomal RNA, 468 nt
Filed under: uncultured bacterium
Lineage: Bacteria
Description: partial 16S ribosomal RNA
Rfam family: Bacterial small subunit ribosomal RNA
Source: RNAcentral
GACGAACGCUGGCGGCGUGCUUAACACAUGCCAGUCGAACGGAAAGGCCCUGCUUUUGUGGGGCGCUCGAGUGGCGAACGGGUGAGUAACACGUGAGUAACCUGCCCUUGACUUUGGGAUAACUUCAGGAAACUGGGGCUAAUACCGGAUAGGAGCUCCUGCUGCAUGGUGGGGGUUGGAAAGUUUCGGCGGUUGGGGAUGGACUCGCGGCUUAUCAGCUUGUUGGUGGGGUAGUGGCUUACCAAGGCUUUGACGGGUAGCCGGCCUGAGAGGGUGAACGGCCACAUUGGGACUGAGAUACGGCCCCGAAUCCUAAGGGGGGCAGCAGGGGGGAAUAUUGCACAAUGGGCGGAAGCCUGAUGCAGCAACGCCGCGUGCGGGAUGACGGCCUUCGGGUUGUAAACCGCUUUCGCCUGUGACGAAGCGUGAGUGACGGUAAUGGGUAAAGAAGCACCGGCUAACUACGUG